This 243-nucleotide long non-coding RNA is filed under the name Elaeis guineensis (African oil palm). RNAcentral's name for it is "long non-coding RNA (EGUI_LNC027927)". Lineage: Eukaryota; Viridiplantae; Streptophyta; Magnoliopsida; Arecales; Arecaceae. The record is from RNAcentral.
AAGGUUUCCAUCCGGGCUUCUGCGGCAGAUGACUUCUGUCUGCAGCACAAACAGCACCCAACCACAGUUAAUCCGUCUGCAACAUCUGAGACAUCCGACAUUCUCUUAGAUUGCUGAGACAGAGAGCUAUUCCGCUCCACCAUGCGUCCUAAUCGAGCUUCAACCGUCCAUCCCGAACUCCCCAGCAAGUUGCGACAACGGACACCACCCCACUCUCUGUAACAAACUCCAUGUGGCCCCACC